Molecule: ribosomal RNA, 577 nt
Filed under: Leptospora thailandica
Lineage: Eukaryota; Fungi; Ascomycota; Dothideomycetes
Description: eukaryotic LSU rRNA
Rfam family: 5.8S ribosomal RNA (bases 220-373)
Source: RNAcentral
UCAGCGACUGCGGAGGAUCAUUAUGAAUCAGUAGCUUGCUACUGUGUUGGGGGAGAAUGGGAAAGUUCUGGCUGAAAAGCUAAUGUACCGGUACCUGCACCCCUAUCAUACCCUUGUCUUUUGAGUACUUAUGUUUCCUUGGUAGGCUUGCCUACCAAAAGGACAAACUUGAAACCUUUUUAAGUAUCAAUCAGCGUCUGAAAAUAAAUUAAUAUUUACAACUUUCAACAACGGAUCUCUUGGUUCUGGCAUCGAUGAAGAACGCAGCGAAAUGCGAUAAGUAGUGUGAAUUGCAGAAUUCAGUGAAUCAUCGAAUCUUUGAACGCACAUUGCGCCCCUUGGUAUUCCAUGGGGCAUGCCUGUUCGAGCGUCAUUUGUACCCUCAAGCUAUGCUUGGUGUUGGGUGAUUGUCCUCUCUAGGACUCGCCUCAAAGUCAUUGGCAGCCAGUAUUUUGGUAUAAAGCGCAGCACAUUUUGCGAUUUACUCCAGUAAUAUUAGCACCCAUUAAGCUCAAUUAUCACUUUUGACCUCGGAUCAGGUAGGGAUACCCGCUGAACUUAAGCAUAUCAAUAGGGC